Molecule: ribosomal RNA, 492 nt
Filed under: uncultured bacterium
Lineage: Bacteria
Description: partial 16S ribosomal RNA
Rfam family: Bacterial small subunit ribosomal RNA
Source: RNAcentral
AGUGAACGCUGGCGGUAGGCCUAACACAUGCAAGUCGAACGGCAGCACAGUAAGAGCUUGCUCUUACGGGUGGCGAGUGGCGGACGGGUGAGGAAUACAUCGGAAUCUACUUUUUCGUGGGGGAUAACGUAGGGAAACUUCCGCUAAUACCGCAUACGACCUACGGGUGAAAGCAGGGGAUCUUCGGACCUUGCGCGAUUGAAUGAGCCGAUGUCGGAUUAGCUAGUUGGCGGGGUAAAGGCCCACCAAGGCGACGAUACGUAGCUGGUCUGAGAGGAUGAUCAGCCACACUGGAACUGAGACACGGUCCAGACUCCUACGGGAGGCAGCAGUGGGGAAUAUUGGACAAUGGGCGCAAGCCUGAUCCAGCCAUACCGCGUGAGUGAAGAAGGCCUUCGGGUUGUAAAGCCCUUUUGUUGGGAAAGAAAAGCAGCAGGUUAAUACCCCGCUGUUCUGACGGUACCCAAAGAAUAAGCACCGGCUAACUUCGUG